CGUGUACAAGUCUCCUGGAAGGGAGCAUCGUAGAGGGUGACAAUCCCGUCUCUGACACGGAUCCCCGGUGCUAUGUGAUGCGCUCUCGACGAGUCGAGUUGUUUGGGAAUGCAGCUCAAAUCGGGUGGUAAACUCCAUCUAAAGCUAAAUACAGGCGAGAGACCGAUAGCGAACAAGUACCGUGAGGGAAAGAUGAAAAGAACUUUGGAAAGAGAGUUAAACAGUACGUGAAAUUGCUGGAAGGGAAACGCUUGACGUCAGUCGCGUCGUCCGGGGAUCAACCUCGCUUUUCGCUGGGCGUAUUUCCCGGUCGACGGGUCAGCAUCGAUUUCGACCGUCGUAGAAGGACGCGAGUGAAUGUGGCACUCCACGGGGUGUGUUAUAGCCUCGCGUAUGGAUGCGAUGGUCGGGAUCGAGGAACUCGGCACGACCCCUCGAGGGUUCGGGGCUUCGGUCCACGCGCGUGCCCAGGAUGCUGGCGUAAUGGCUUUAAGCGACCCGUCUUGAAACACGGACCAAGGAGUCUAACGUGCCUGCGAGUGUUCGGGUGCAAAACCCGAGCGCGCAACGAAAGUGAAAGUCGAGACCUCCGUCGUGGAGGGCACCGACGCCCGGACCGGAGCCUUUGGCGAUGGAUCUGCGGUAGAGCAUGUAUGUUGGGACCCGAAAGAUGGUGAACUAUGCCUGAA
This 689-nucleotide ribosomal RNA is filed under the name Scleroderma sp. RNAcentral describes it as "LSU rRNA". It matches the Rfam family "Eukaryotic large subunit ribosomal RNA", at positions 176 to 841 of the family's 3401-position model. The record is from RNAcentral. Lineage: Eukaryota; Fungi; Basidiomycota; Agaricomycetes; Boletales; Sclerodermataceae.